Bombus terrestris (buff-tailed bumblebee) is the source of this 1250-nucleotide long non-coding RNA. RefSeq lists it as uncharacterized. Lineage: Eukaryota; Metazoa; Arthropoda; Insecta; Hymenoptera; Apidae. The transcript has 2 exons. The record is from RefSeq and is a predicted model, not a curated record.
GUAUAGCUCAUCGCCUCGAAUGGCUUUCCGGUUUCUAUGAAAACCACCGGCGCAAACAUGCUGUGAACGUGGUCUUGGGUCGGUCGGUGGGCGUUCGAUGUUUGUCCGACGAAAAAUAGGUGAACCAUUGGUCGGUCGGUUCUAGAAUCGCUAGACAGCCACGUGGCCUGACGGCUGGAGGGAAUUCUCAAAAGAAAUUCCUUCCUUCCAUGUCUCUCCAUCGUUCUGGCGAUUUACUCGAUUACGCGGAUGAUGAUCCCUCGAUUGCCCCAAGGAAAACGGAUAGAGACGCGUUUGUGCGUGAAAAAAAUUACAUAUAUACGUGAAAGUAUCUGAUCCAAUGGCAUGGAUGACGUGAAUUGGCGAAAACGGAUAACUUUUCAUCAGGAAGAAAUGUUCUUCUCUUGAUAAACGUGCAGUGUACAAAAUAAUGAUAUUUGAGCGUGAAAAAUACAGAGAAAUUACAAGGGAGAGUAUACGUAACGCCAACGGAAGCCAGAUACGCGGAAUAUUCGCAACUCCGUCGGUUGACGGUUAAAAUAUUCUCGAGCACAGCGAAACGAUCGAGCAUCUCCUCGAAACGAUAAAGAAACGAGCGCGUAACGCUCGUCGAACGAGCUGAUUUUCAAUCCAAGAACGAAUAUCGACGAUAUCAUCGGUACAAUAGGGGAUGAGGCUCUUCUUCAUGGGACAUCCUCAAAGAAAAUAGAAAAAGGAAGGCGAAACGAGAAGCUGAUAUCGCAGGACUUUGGUCUCUGGUACUCUGCCAGGCCCUAUUUCCCGGCGAUCCAGCGAGAGUGGCGGAAGUCCAGUCUGGUAAGCCGGGGCGGGUACAUAGGCUGGUAGGGUGGGAAAUCUAUUCUACGAACGUUUGUCAUGCCUGUUAUUUUACCGGUACCGCUGGCUCCUUUUUCAUCCGUGACCAUACGAUAGUUUCUGGUUACCAACGUUUUUGGAAUCGCACCGGCCAAAAAGAAAUAAGCCGAGUUAAACGAGCUCGCACCAGAAGAAGAAAUAGGAUAACGAGGAACAAAUAGCUGGAUUUGGAUUUUUUUAACGGACAAUGAGUUUCUAGCGAGUGAAAACUUUUUAGCAAAAAAGGAAAACGAUUACGGGCAAAGUGGUUCAUUUGUAAUUGUCUUUCGCCGAAUGCAGCAGUUGGGACUGUAGUCAAAGAACGUUAUUUCGACUACUGUGAUGUGCAAUCUCGCAAUUGAAUAAGAAAAAUAAAUGAUAUUAAACUUUUCUUC